Molecule: small nucleolar RNA, 80 nt
Filed under: Sorghum bicolor (sorghum)
Lineage: Eukaryota; Viridiplantae; Streptophyta; Magnoliopsida; Poales; Poaceae
Description: snoRNA snoR160
Rfam family: Small nucleolar RNA R160
About the family: snoR160 is a C/D box small nucleolar RNA, which acts as a methylation guide for 25S ribosomal RNA in plants. snoR160 has been alternatively named snoZ270 in rice.
Source: Rfam by way of RNAcentral
AGCAAACUGAUCAGGUUAUAUUAUCCGAAGUGUCAGAUGUUGAUACAUCAAUUCAUGGUCUUCAAAGUUCUCUGAUUCCU